This 88-nucleotide small RNA is filed under the name Arabidopsis thaliana (thale cress). RNAcentral's name for it is "ATSL060180". The record is from RNAcentral. Lineage: Eukaryota; Viridiplantae; Streptophyta; Magnoliopsida; Brassicales; Brassicaceae.
GCUUUAAACGAGGACACAAAAGAAAACGGCGAUGAGGCUGUGAAAGUUGGUGGCGACGAGUCCAAAGAUGGUUGGGUUUGUGAAGGAA